This 93-nucleotide ribosomal RNA is filed under the name Acanthosepion pharaonis. The record is from RNAcentral. Lineage: Eukaryota; Metazoa; Mollusca; Cephalopoda; Sepiida; Sepiidae.
AAACAGUUUUCCAUACGAUCAUCGAAGUUAAGCAACGUCGAACCUGGUUAGUACCUAGAUGUGUAACGACUUGGGAAUACCAGGUGCUGUAAG